AGUCGAGCGCCCCGCAGGGGAGCGGCAGACGGGUGAGUAACGCGUGGGAACGUACCCUUUACUACGGAAUAACGCAGGGAAACUUGUGCUAAUACCGUAUGUGCCCUUCGGGGGAAAGAUUUAUCGGUAAAGGAUCGGCCCGCGUUGGAUUAGCUAGUUGGUGGGGUAAAGGCCUACCAAGGCGACGAUCCAUAGCUGGUCUGAGAGGAUGAUCAGCCACAUUGGGACUGAGACACGGCCCAAACUCCUACGGGAGGCAGCAGUGGGGAAUAUUGGACAAUGGGCGCAAGCCUGAUCCAGCCAUGCCGCGUGAGUGAUGAAGGCCCUAGGGUUGUAAAGCUCUUUCACCGGAGAAGAUAAUGACGGUAUCCGGAGAAGAAGCCCCGGCUAACUUCGUGCCAGCAGCCGCGGUAAUACGAAGGGGGCUAGCGUUGUUCGGAAUUACUGGGCGUAAAGCGCACGUAGGCGGAUCGAUCAGUCAGGGGUGAAAUCCCAGGGCUCAACCCUGGAACUGCCUUUGAUACUGUCGAUCUGGAGUAUGGAAGAGGUGAGUGGAAUUCCGAGUGUAGAGGUGAAAUUCGUAGAUAUUCGGAGGAACACCAGUGGCGAAGGCGGCUCACUGGUCCAUUACUGACGCUGAGGUGCGAAAGCGU
This 653-nucleotide ribosomal RNA is filed under the name Rhizobium etli. Its description in RNAcentral is "bacterial SSU rRNA". It matches the Rfam family "Bacterial small subunit ribosomal RNA", at positions 60 to 762 of the family's 1533-position model. Lineage: Bacteria; Pseudomonadati; Pseudomonadota; Alphaproteobacteria; Hyphomicrobiales; Rhizobiaceae. The record is from RNAcentral.